This 1141-nucleotide long non-coding RNA is filed under the name Gopherus agassizii (Agassiz's desert tortoise). RNAcentral's name for it is "lncRNA (ENSGAGG00000012659.1)". The record is from RNAcentral. Lineage: Eukaryota; Metazoa; Chordata; Testudines; Testudinidae.
UGCAGUAGAUCCCAGCUCUGCCACCAGUUGUCCCGGAGUGUGGGGGAGUCCAGGCCCUGCACCCCUCACUUCCUGCGAUGCACCGGGACUCUCAGCCGGCCGGUAACACAGACGGUUUAUUAGCCGACAGGAAUCAACUCCAAACCAGAGCUUGUGGGUACAGAGACCAGGACCCCUCAGUCAGGUCCCUCUUGGGGGGUAGGGAGCCCAGUUCCCAGUUCUGGGCCUCUCCCCAUUUCCCCCUCCAGCCACCUCCCCCAGGCUCCUCCUCCAGCCUUUGUCCGGUUUCUGGGGCAGGUGUCACCUGGCCCCAGCCCCCUCCUGGGCUCAGGUUACACAGGGAAACCGCCACCCUUUACCUGCUGGCGUCAGGUAUCAUCCCUGUUUCCCAUCCCCACCUAGUACUGGUGCAGCACCCGGGGAAACUGAGGCACACCCCGUGUUAGCAGAAAACAAUAAACUAGUGAAAUUCCCAUGCACCAUUAUCAGGUUAAUACUCCCUCUUCCCUUCUCCAUCUCAGCUGGGAGCCAGGACUCCUGGGUUCUCUCCCUGGCUCUGGGAGGGGAGUGGGGUCUAGUGGUUAGAGCGGGGGGGGCUGGGAACCAGGUGUCACAGAGUUUGGAGGAGACAAGGCCCCUGCAGUUCACCACGACUCUCAGGCAGCCAGUAACACAGAAGGUUUAUUUAGACGACAGGAACACAGUCCAAGACAGGCCUUGCAGAUACAGACCACGGGACCCCCUCAGUCAGGUCCAUCCUGGGGGACUAGGGAGCCAAGAGGUCUGUCUGGCCUCCCCUCCAUUUUCCCAGCUAGCUCCAAGCCGAAAAUUCUCCCUUUGUCUCUUUCCCGGGCCAGGAGGUCACCUGAUCUCUUCGUUUUUUAACACCUUUAGUUGGCAACUUUGCAGGGGAGGAGCCCAGGCCAUCAGUUGCCAGAAGUCAGGGCGUCACACUGGCCCCCUAGGGCUCUGCAACAAUCACACAUCUCUAGACACUCGAGAAAUGCAUAGGGGAAACUGAGGCACACACACAGUAUUCAGAGAAAACAUUCAAAACAUUCCCAUGUUGUCACACCAGGACUCCAGGUUUCUUUCCCCAGCUCUGGGAGGGGUGUGGGGACUAGUGGUUAGAGCGGGGGGG